This 253-nucleotide ribosomal RNA is filed under the name uncultured bacterium. RNAcentral describes it as "partial 16S ribosomal RNA". It matches the Rfam family "Bacterial small subunit ribosomal RNA", at positions 524 to 776 of the family's 1533-position model. The record is from RNAcentral.
UACGAAGGGUGCAAGCGUUACUCGGAAUUACUGGGCGUAAAGCGUGCGUAGGUGGUUCGUUAAGUCUGUCGUGAAAGCCCCGGGCUCAACCUGGGAAUGGCGAUGGAUACUGGCGAGCUAGAGUGCGGUAGAGGAGAGUGGAAUUCCCGGUGUAGCAGUUAAAUGCGUAGAUAUCGGGAGGAACACCUGUGGCGAAGGCGGCCCCCUGGUUGGAUACUGACGCUGAGACGCGAAAGCGUGGGGAGCAAACAGG